CAGGUUAUCUUCACGAGAAAAAAUGGGAGGAGUUACGAGAUUCUCUGGGUUGCAUGAAGAUCUACUAAUAACUUUCUCGCCAAGUAAUUUGGCGUCAUCGGCUCAUUCUUAUUUCUGGAACUGUGGUUGAAGAGUGGUCUGUUUUUGAUCCAUGUGCGCAAUGGCAAAUUUCAGGUUAUUCGUCAAAUAACCAAGGUUUCUAUUUCUCUGAUUAAUGCAGUUUAUUUGACAGAUGUGUAAUGCUGUUUGUUGAAAAAUGCAUUAGAACCAAUGAUGGUAAGAUCUUGGCCUAGCAAAUUGGUAAAAUAUUACCUGCUCUUAAUUACUGAAUCAUAUUGUAGGAUAAAAUCUGCUGUUUAUGUAUGAAAAUUUGUACUUUAUCUCUGAUUAUGUGGUAUAUGCCCAGAAUUUCAUUAUUAAUGAUCGAUUCAUUAAAAUUACUAUUUUUAAUUGUCUACUUUGUUUUGUGUUGCUGCUGCUCAUUCUGCAUUUUUUUUUUUUUUUUUUUGAGUAGAUAUAAAAAUUAAUUCUUGUUUUUUAUUUUUUUUCCCUCCAUGUCUCUUUUUAUUGUGCUGGUAAAUUUUUGAGAAAAUUUCAAGUAAAUGUGCCGUUUUUACUUAGUUUGCGUAAAAAUUGUUCUUCUUUAUGCCUCUUUUGAAUAAAUAUGUCAAUUCUUGUUUGUAUUAUUUAAUAUCUUGUUUUGCAUAUUAACACA
Stegodyphus dumicola is the source of this 715-nucleotide long non-coding RNA. The record is from RefSeq and is a predicted model, not a curated record. NCBI's taxonomy places the organism in Eukaryota, Metazoa, Arthropoda, Arachnida, Araneae, Eresidae.